Molecule: small RNA, 89 nt
Filed under: Algibacter pectinivorans
Lineage: Bacteria; Pseudomonadati; Bacteroidota; Flavobacteriia; Flavobacteriales; Flavobacteriaceae
Description: Pontirhabdus pectinovorans Flavo-1 RNA
Rfam family: Flavo-1 RNA
Source: Rfam by way of RNAcentral
UUCUAGGUUGCGUUAGUGAUUGAAACGGCAUCCUUUUUUUUGCUGCCAUAAAUGGCAAAAAAAAGAUAUAGUGGAAAGCACGACCCUUU